RNAcentral lists this unclassified non-coding RNA (177 nucleotides) under uncultured Herpotrichiellaceae. RNAcentral's name for it is "sequence contains ITS2". The record is from RNAcentral. Lineage: Eukaryota; Fungi; Ascomycota; Eurotiomycetes; Chaetothyriales; Herpotrichiellaceae.
UCACCCCUCAAGCUCCCCGGCUUGGUGUUGGACGGUUUAGCCUUGGUGACGAGGCCCGUUUUAAAGUCAAUGACGGCGGCCUGUUCGACCCCCGGUACACCGAGCUUAACUAAAGCACGUAUCGGUUGAAGGGUAGGCAGGACCCGGUCUUCUUCCUUAACCGGAAACUCUUUCCAA